UCCGGUUGAUCCUGCCAGAGGCCACUGCUAUCGGGGUUCGAUUAAGCCAUGCGAGUCGAGAGGGUUCGGCCCUCGGCAUACUGCUCAGUAACACGUGGAUAACCUGCCCUAAGGAAGGGGAUAACCCCGGGAAACUGGGGAUAAUACCCUAUAGGUUACAGAUGCUGGAAUGCUCUGUAACUCAAAGCUCCGGCGCCUUAGGAUGGAUCUGCGGCCGAUUAGGUUGUUGUUGGGGUAACGGCCCAACAAGCCAGUAAUCGAUACGGGUUGUGGGAGCAAGAGCCCGGAGUUGGAUUCUGAGACACGAAUCCAGGCCCUACGGGGCGCAGCAGGCGCGAAAACUUUACAAUGCGGGCAACCGUGAUAAGGGAACCUCGAGUGCCUGUAUAUGCAGGCUGUCCAGGUGUCUAAAGCACACCUGAAGAAAGGGCCGGGCAAGACCGGUGCCAGCCGCCGCGGUAAUACCGGCGGCUCGAGUGGUGGCCACUUUUAUUGGGCUUAAAGCGUUCGUAGCUGGGUUGUUAAGUCUCUUGGGAAAUCCGACGGCUCAACCGUCGGGCGUCUAAGGGAUACUGGCAAUCUUGGAACCGGGAGAGGUGAGGGGUACUUCGGGGGUAGGAGUGAAAUCCUGUAAUCCUCGAGGGACCACCUGUGGCGAAGGCGCCUCACCAGAACGGCUUCGACAGUGAGGGACGAAAGCUGGGGGAGCAAACCGGAUUAGAUACCCGGGUAGUCCCAGCCGUAAACGAUGCGCGUUAGGUGUAUCGACGACCACGAGUCGUCGAGGUGCCGAAGGGAAACCGUGAAACGUGCCGCCUGGGAAGUACGGUCGCAAGGCUGAAACUUAAAGGAAUUGGCGGGGGAGCAC
This 868-nucleotide ribosomal RNA is filed under the name uncultured Methanoculleus sp. RNAcentral describes it as "bacterial SSU rRNA". It matches the Rfam family "Archaeal small subunit ribosomal RNA", at positions 1 to 879 of the family's 1478-position model. Lineage: Archaea; Methanobacteriati; Methanobacteriota; Methanomicrobia; Methanomicrobiales; Methanomicrobiaceae. The record is from RNAcentral.